GCUGGGCGCAGUGGCGCAUGCCUGUAGUCCCAGCUACUCGGGAGGCUGAGGUGGGAGGAUCACUUGAGCCCAGGAGUUCUGGGCUGUAGUGCACUAUGCCAAUUGGGUGUCCGCACUAAGUUCUGCUUCAGUAUGGUGACCUCCUGGGAGCGGGAGACCACCAGGUUGCCUAAGGAGGGGUGAACCAGCCCAGGUCAGAAACGGAGCAAGUCAAAACUCCCGUGCUGAUCAGUAGUGAGAUGGCGCCUGUGAAUAGCCACUGCACUCCAGCCUGGGCAACGUAGCAAGACCCGUCUCUA
Molecule: unclassified non-coding RNA, 299 nt
Organism: Callithrix jacchus (white-tufted-ear marmoset)
Lineage: Eukaryota; Metazoa; Chordata; Mammalia; Primates; Cebidae
Rfam family: Metazoan signal recognition particle RNA
About the family: The signal recognition particle (SRP) is a universally conserved ribonucleoprotein. It is involved in the co-translational targeting of proteins to membranes. The eukaryotic SRP consists of a 300-nucleotide 7S RNA and six proteins: SRPs 72, 68, 54, 19, 14, and 9.
Source: Ensembl